AAAUUGAAGAGUUUGAUCAUGGCUCAGAUUGAACGCUGGCGGCAGGCCUAACACAUGCAAGUCGAGCGGAAACGAGUUAUCUGAACCUUCGGGGGACGAUAACGGCGUCGAGCGGCGGACGGGUGAGUAAUGCCUAGGAAAUUGCCCUGAUGUGGGGGAUAACCAUUGGAAACGAUGGCUAAUACCGCAUGAUGCCUACGGGCCAAAGAGGGGGACCUUCGGGCCUCUCGCGUCAGGAUAUGCCUAGGUGGGAUUAGCUAGUUGGUGAGGUAAGGGCUCACCAAGGCGACGAUCCCUAGCUGGUCUGAGAGGAUGAUCAGCCACACUGGAACUGAGACACGGUCCAGACUCCUACGGGAGGCAGCAGUGGGGAAUAUUGCACAAUGGGCGCAAGCCUGAUGCAGCCAUGCCGCGUGUGUGAAGAAGGCCUUCGGGUUGUAAAGCACUUUCAGUCGUGAGGAAGGCGGUGUAGUUAAUAGCUGCAUCGUUUGACGUUAGCGACAGAAGAAGCACCGGCUAACUCCGUGCCAGCAGCCGCGGUAAUACGGAGGGUGCGAGCGUUAAUCGGAAUUACUGGGCGUAAAGCGCAUGCAGGUGGUUUGUUAAGUCAGAUGUGAAAGCCCGGGGCUCAACCUCGGAAUUGCAUUUGAAACUGGCAGACUAGAGUACUGUAGAGGGGGGUAGAAUUUCAGGUGUAGCGGUGAAAUGCGUAGAGAUCUGAAGGAAUACCGGUGGCGAAGGCGGCCCCCUGGACAGAUACUGACACUCAGA
This 771-nucleotide ribosomal RNA is filed under the name Vibrio parahaemolyticus. RNAcentral describes it as "bacterial SSU rRNA". It matches the Rfam family "Bacterial small subunit ribosomal RNA", at positions 1 to 751 of the family's 1533-position model. The record is from RNAcentral. Lineage: Bacteria; Pseudomonadati; Pseudomonadota; Gammaproteobacteria; Vibrionales; Vibrionaceae.